GAUGAACGCUGGCGGCGUGCCUAAUACAUGCCAGUCGAGCGAACGGACGAGAAGCUUGCUUCUCUGAUGUUAGCGGCGGACGGGUGAGUAACACGUGGAUAACCUACCUAUAAGACUGGGAUAACUUCGGGAAACCGGAGCUAAUACCGGAUAAUAUUUUGAACCGCAUGGUUCAAAAGUGAAAGACGGUCUUGCUGUCACUUAUAGAUGGAUCCGCGCUGCAUUAGCUAGUUGGUAAGGUAACGGCUUACCAAGGCAACGAUGCAUAGCCGACCUGAGAGGGUGAUCGGCCACACUGGAACUGAGACACGGUCCAGACUCCUACGGGAGGCAGCAGUAGGGAAUCUUCCGCAAUGGGCGAAAGCCUGACGGAGCAACGCCGCGUGAGUGAUGAAGGUCUUCGGAUCGUAAAACUCUGUUAUUAGGGAAGAACAUAUGUGUAAGUAACUGUGCACAUCUUGGCGGUACCUAAUCAGAAAGCCACGGCUAACUACGUG
This 497-nucleotide ribosomal RNA is filed under the name uncultured bacterium. Its description in RNAcentral is "partial 16S ribosomal RNA". It matches the Rfam family "Bacterial small subunit ribosomal RNA", at positions 28 to 507 of the family's 1533-position model. The record is from RNAcentral.